GCGUCUAUAUACGUAUAGCAUAUCAAUAAGCGGAGGAAAAGAAACUAACAAGGAUUCCCUUAGUAACGGCGAGUGAAGCGGGAAGAGCUCAAAUUUGAAAUCUUCAAGGUUCUACCUUGACGAAUUGUAGUUUAUAGAAGUGUUUUCUGUUAGUGGAGUGGCAAAAGUUCUUUGGAAUAGGACAUCAUAGAGGGUGAGAAUCCCGUAUUUGGUCAUUCCUCCUAGCGUUGUGAUACACUUUCAACGAGUCGGAUUGUUUGGGAAUGCAGUCCAAAAUGGGUGGUAAAUUUCAUCUAAAGCUAAAUAUUGGCGAGAGACCGAUAGCGAACAAGUACCGUGAGGGAAAGAUGAAAAGAACUUUGAAAAGAGAGUUAAACAGUACGUGAAAUUGUCAAAAGGGAAGCGUUUGACACCAGUGUUGUUUUUCCGAAAAUCAAUUACGAAUGUUUUAUUUUUGAGGAGUUAUGACUUCAUCGGCUUGCUCCUUUCUUUAUCGAAACUUUCUUAAUGCACUUUUCGGUUAACAAGUCAACAUCAAUUUCUUUUGUUGUAAAAGGGUAUGAGGAAGGUGGCUUUCUUUUCGGAGAAAGUGUUUAUAGCCUUGUGCCUCCGCAAUCGGAGAGAUUGAGGUCUGCAGCGUAGAUCCUUCGGGGUUAGAUACAUUUGUGCUAAGUUAUAGCUUUUCAUAGACAACUUGUUGACUAUGUUUAGUCUUGUAGCUUACUCGCUUACUGCUAUUUUACCUACGCUUAGGAUGUUGACUGAUAUGUAGUCGUA
RNAcentral lists this ribosomal RNA (777 nucleotides) under uncultured Neocallimastigales. Its description in RNAcentral is "partial large subunit ribosomal RNA". It matches the Rfam family "Eukaryotic large subunit ribosomal RNA", at positions 22 to 644 of the family's 3401-position model. Lineage: Eukaryota; Fungi; Neocallimastigomycota; Neocallimastigomycetes; Neocallimastigales. The record is from RNAcentral.